CAUGCGGCGCAUUAGCUAGUCGGCGGGGUAACGGCCCACCGAGGCGACGAUGCGUAGGGGUUCUGAGAGGAAGGUCCCCCACACUGGUACUGAGACACGGACCAGACUCCUACGGGAGGCAGCAGUGAGGAAUAUUGGUCAAUGGGCGGAAGCCUGAACCAGCCAAGUCGCGUGAGGGAAGACGGUCCUAUGGAUUGUAAACCUCUUUUGCAGGGGAGCAAGGCGCGGUACGUGUACCGCGAAGGAGAGUACCCUGAGAAAAAGCAUCGGCUAACUCCGUGCCAGCGGCCGCGGUAAUACGGAGGAUGCGAGCGUUAUCCGGAUUUAUUGGGUUUAAAGGGUGCGCAGGCGGACUGUUAAGUCAGCGGUAAAAUGUCGGUGCUCAACACCGGCCGGCCGUUGAAACUGGCAGCCUUGAGUGAGCGAGAAGUAUGCGGAAUGCGUGGUGUAGCGGUGAAAUGCAUAGAUAUCACGCAGAACUCCGAUUGCGAAGGCAGCAUACCGGCGCUCAACUGACGCUCAGGCACGAAAGCGUGGGUAUCGAACAGGCUUAGAUACCCUGGUAGUCCACGCAGUAAACGAUGAAUGCUCACUGUCCGGGCCGUUUAAGGCCUGG
Molecule: ribosomal RNA, 616 nt
Filed under: uncultured bacterium
Lineage: Bacteria
Description: bacterial SSU rRNA
Rfam family: Bacterial small subunit ribosomal RNA
Source: RNAcentral